AAAAUCCUACUGUGUUCGUAUAUUGAGUAUAAUUGAUCUAACAUCAUUGAAUAGGGAAUCGGACUCUUCUUGUAGAAUGAUUUUGAGAAUUUUUUAAAAACAAGAAGCAAGAAGGAGAUACCCACCUGCAGGGGACGCGGGUUCAAUAAAACUCAUAAAACGGCAUAGUGGGAGUUUU
This 178-nucleotide non-coding RNA is filed under the name Clostridium acetireducens DSM 10703. RNAcentral's name for it is "6S / SsrS RNA". It matches the Rfam family "6S / SsrS RNA". From Rfam's summary of the family: E. coli 6S RNA was the first non coding RNA to be sequenced, but its function was unknown until recently. Lineage: Bacteria; Bacillati; Bacillota; Clostridia; Eubacteriales; Clostridiaceae. The record is from Rfam by way of RNAcentral.